ACAGAGGGUGCGAGCGUUGUCCGGAAUCACUGGGCGUAAAGGGCGCGUAGGCGGCUUGGUAAGCGUGCGGUGAAAGCUCGGGGCUCAACCCCGAGUCUGCCGUGCGAACUGCCGAGCUGGAGCACGGUAGAGGCACAUGGAAUUCCGGGUGUAGCGGUGGAAUGCGUAGAGAUCCGGAAGAACACCGGUGGCGAAGGCGGUGUGCUGGGCCGUAGCUGACGCUGAGGCGCGACAGCGUGGGGAGCAAACAGGAUUAGAUACCCUGGUAGUCCACGCCGUAAACGAUGGGCACUAGGCCCUUGGGGGAGCGACCCCCUGAGGACCGGCGCAAACGCAUUAAGUGCCCCGCCUGGGGAGUACGGCCGCAAGGCUG
This 373-nucleotide ribosomal RNA is filed under the name uncultured bacterium. RNAcentral's name for it is "bacterial SSU rRNA". It matches the Rfam family "Bacterial small subunit ribosomal RNA", at positions 525 to 896 of the family's 1533-position model. The record is from RNAcentral.